Molecule: long non-coding RNA, 211 nt
Filed under: Setaria viridis
Lineage: Eukaryota; Viridiplantae; Streptophyta; Magnoliopsida; Poales; Poaceae
Description: long non-coding RNA (SVIR_LNC004680)
Source: RNAcentral
GUGAUUUGUAGGAUGAAAGAAAUUAGAGAAGUACUCACAUUGUGAUGUGAAAAUAUUUUAACGUGUUUAUCAUACCUUGACCAGAAAUGAUGUUAUCCUCCUCAUCGGUGUCUUCUUCAUAUACAACUCCAUCGUCACCUGCAUAGAAUUAUGUGAAUUAUAUGAUGUUUUCCAUUGCAUGAUGAGAAUAUAAAUUUAGUAUAUAUCCUUA